RNAcentral lists this ribosomal RNA (431 nucleotides) under uncultured bacterium. RNAcentral's name for it is "partial 16S ribosomal RNA". It matches the Rfam family "Bacterial small subunit ribosomal RNA", at positions 29 to 507 of the family's 1533-position model. The record is from RNAcentral.
AACGAACGCUGGCGGCAGGCUUAACACAUGCAAGUCGAGCGCCCCGCAAGUGGAGCGGCAGACGGGUGAGUAACGCGUGGGAACGUACCCUUAUCUUCGGGAUAGCUCCGGGAAACUGGAAUUAAUACCGAAUGUGCCCUUUGAGGGGAAGAGUUAUCGGAUAAGGAUCGGCCCGCGUUGGAUUAGCGAGUUGGUGGGGUAAAGGCAUACCAAGGCGACGAUCCAUAGCUGGUCUGAGAGGAUGAUCAGCCACAUUGGGACUGAGACACGGCCCAAACUCCUACGGGAGGCAGCAGUGGAGAAUAUUGGAGAAUGGGCGCAAGCCUGAUCCAGCCAUGUCGCGUGAGUGAUGCAGGCGUUAGGGUUGUACAGCUCUUUCACAGGAGAAGAUAAUGACGGUAUCCGGAGAAGAAGCCCCGGCUAACUUCGUG